This 486-nucleotide ribosomal RNA is filed under the name uncultured bacterium. Its description in RNAcentral is "partial 16S ribosomal RNA". It matches the Rfam family "Bacterial small subunit ribosomal RNA", at positions 30 to 507 of the family's 1533-position model. The record is from RNAcentral.
AUCGAACGCUGGCGGCAUGCCUUACACAUGCAAGUCGAACGGCAGCACGGGUGCUUGCACCUGGUGGCGAGUGGCGAACGGGUGAGUAAUACAUCGGAACAUGUCCUGUAGUGGGGGAUAGCCCGGCGAAAGCCGGAUUAAUACCGCAUACGAUCUACGGAUGAAAGCGGGGGACCUUCGGGCCUCGCGCUAUAGGGUUGGCCGAUGGCUGAUUAGCUAGUUGGUGGGGUAAAGGCCUACCAAGGCGACGAUCAGUAGCCGGUCUGAGAGGACGACCAGCCACACUGGGACUGAGACACGGCCCAGACUCCUACGGGAGGCAGCAGUGGGGAAUUUUGGACAAUGGGCGAAAGCCUGAUCCAGCAAUGCCGCGUGUGUGAAGAAGGCCUUCGGGUUGUAAAGCACUUUUGUCCGGAAAGAAAUCCUUGGCCCUAAUACGGUCGGGGGAUGACGGUACCGGAAGAAUAAGCACCGGCUAACUACGUG